Molecule: ribosomal RNA, 230 nt
Filed under: uncultured microorganism
Description: partial 16S ribosomal RNA
Rfam family: Bacterial small subunit ribosomal RNA
Source: RNAcentral
UACGUAGGUGGCAAGCGUUAUCCGGAUUUAUUGGGCGUAAAGCGAGCGCAGGCGGUUUUUUAAGUCUGAUGUGAAAGCCCUCGGCUUAACCGAGGAAGUGCAUCGGAAACUGGGAAACUUGAGUGCAGAAGAGGACAGUGGAACUCCAUGUGUAGCGGUGAAAUGCGUAGAUAUAUGGAAGAACACCAGUGGCGAAGGCGGCUGUCUGGUCUGUAACUGACGCUGAGGCU